CCCUUAGAUGUCCUGGGCCGCACGCGCGCUACACUGAGUGUCUGAGAUACGAGUCUGCCUGGUCCGGCAAGGUCUAGGUAAUCGCUAAAAGACACAUCAUGCUUGGGAUAGAUUAUUGCAAAUAUUAAUCUUGAACGAGGAAUUCCUAGUAAGCGCAAGUCAACAGCUUGCGUUGAUUACGUCCCUGCCCUUUGUACACACCGCCCGUCGCUACUACCGAUUGAAUGGUUUAGUGAGACCCUCGGAUUCGUCCCAACACAGUGGGUUUCUGCUGAGCUGGUGCGCGGAGAAGACGGUCGAACUUGAUCAUUUAGAGGAAGUAAAAGUCGUAACA
RNAcentral lists this ribosomal RNA (334 nucleotides) under uncultured eukaryote. Its description in RNAcentral is "partial 18S ribosomal RNA". It matches the Rfam family "Eukaryotic small subunit ribosomal RNA", at positions 1470 to 1796 of the family's 1831-position model. The record is from RNAcentral.